Small nuclear RNA from Myotis lucifugus (little brown bat), 105 nucleotides. NCBI's taxonomy places the organism in Eukaryota, Metazoa, Chordata, Mammalia, Chiroptera, Vespertilionidae. The record is from Ensembl.
GUUUACCUGCUCUAGACAUUUUGUAUAAAUAGAUUUGUACCAAGAAGAUUAACAUGACCCCCACACAAGGAUGACAUGCAAAUUCCUGAAUAGAAUUGUACAAUA